RNAcentral lists this ribosomal RNA (316 nucleotides) under Mimetus sp. GH1615. RNAcentral describes it as "partial 12S ribosomal RNA". The record is from RNAcentral. Lineage: Eukaryota; Metazoa; Arthropoda; Arachnida; Araneae; Mimetidae.
AUUAAUUAUUUAGGUAGUAAAUUUAUUGAAACCUCUAUUUUAUGGCGGCAUUUUAUCUUACUAGAGGAACAUGUUUUUUAAUCGAAAAUACACGAUCAUUUUAACUUUAUUUUAAAUUUUAUAUACCUCCGUCCCAAAUUUAUUUAAUUUUUUUAAAAGAAAAAUCUAAAAAGAUAGGUAAAGGUGUAAACUAUGAUAUAGAUAAAAUGUGUUACAUUAAAAAUAAAUUAAGAAUUAAACCUUAAAACUUUUAUGAAAAAGGAUUUAACAGUAAUAUUUUUAUAAUAUUUUAAUUUGAAUAAGAAAAUAAAUGUGU